UUAGAGAUUUUAAAUCAAAUGAAAGGUGCUUGUAUUACAUUUCAACUAGAGUAUUUAGUACACUUGAACUGCAUUUAUAGUGCAUACAUCCUACAAUCUACAUACAUCCCCUUACAAUUAAAACUAAAAAAGAAUAGGAAAAUAAUCUGCACUUGAAGAAGCACGAGGACCACACCUAAACUUCCAUACCACAUAAAACCUCAUACAUCCAUACAUGCAUGAUUUUAAGCAACAAAAAAAAUGAAAAUAAGUAAUUAGGUUGAACUCAGCACACGAGUUGCUUGCUGCUGCAUCCAUCUUCCAUCAUACAUGGCCAUUAUCAUCACGUAUCUCACAUCUCCUCAGUCACACCUUAUUCACUCCUUGCUCACAUGCAUCAACAAGAAACAAAUCCCUCAAAAACACCCAAACACUCACAAAUUUUACCCCUCAUUUUCCCCUCACACAGAUCACCACUCCCAUCCUACUUCCCAUAUAAAAUUCCCUCUCCAUCCACAUUAACACACACAAAAAGACCCCAAUAAAACUCUGCAAAAAACUCUUCCUUAUUCAUAUAUAAACCCCUACAACCUUGAGCAAACCCUUGCACUACCCAAGGAAGAAAGAGGAAGAAGUAGAGAGAGACUCAGAAGAGGAGCUAAGCAUGCAGAACUGAAGAAAAAGAACAUAGAAGGAGUUUACCUAAAGGUUGGACGGUCAUCGGAGCUCUCACCAGAAUCCAAGAUUUUGACGAGGUUACUUUCCUUGCUUUUUAUACUGCUUCUCCUUUGUUUUCUUGCAUAACCGCCCCUAUUUUUCUUCCAAUUAUUGUAAUCUGCGUGUAUUGUUUAAAAAUAGAGAAAAUUUGGGGAUUAAGGUUCAAAUUGGGGUAAGGGAGAUUUAUAUGUUUGUAUUGAUUUUUGUUCAUUUGAAUGCUAGAUUCAGUUUUAGAGAGAAAAAAAUGAGUGAGGUUCGUGUUUGAACUUCUUGGUUUUGGCGUGUUUUUAAGGAUUAUGGGAAAAUGCAGAUGAACAUUCCUAAUGUUCAUAUACAUGGCUCUUCAUUUAACCACUUUUAAUCUGCUUUUAUAUGGAAAGAGAGCGUGAGAAGUGUUUGGAGGAGAGAGAUUAAAAUGUUGAUGAUCGAGAGAGAGGGAGAGAGAGAGAGGGAGGAAGUGAAAAAAUGGUUAUCCGAUGAUGGCUUCUUUUCUUUUCAAUCUCCACCGUGUUCCAGUUACUUAACACAUGGCUCAAUCAGAGCCCAUGAUUAUGCGCACCGGUCAUGUUGACCAGGGGUUCGGUGUGUGCACCCCACCAUAUCACCAUAAGCCCUCAUUUCCUAGCCCAUUGAUCUUGAUGUAGUUUGAUAUAAAGGAUGAGGAUGAGUCAUCACAUUGAAUCCCUCAUACAGGGCCAACAACGCCUUUGUUGGGCCUCCUACAUGGGGCCUUUUGUGUAUAGCACCCCCAUAUUUUAAUUACUUUAUUAUUAUUUGUUUGUGUUAUUUUUGUCGGGCUUCCCAUAACUUUGUUGUUUGCAUAUACUCCCUUUAUCUCUUACACCACCCCUUCUUUUAUUUAUUUCCUUUUACUAUUUAUUCAUUUUUGUUAAUUAAUUUUAUUUGAUUAAAUAAUUAUUUGGUAAAUAAAAUUAGUAUUUCAAAAGAAUUAAAACCUUGAUCCAAAGUCAAGUAAUUUUUAAAACUUCACCUCCCUUCGCCACUAAUUACAUACUUUUCUAUUCGAUUCUAAUUCAACACAAAUAAAACCUUGAUUCAUAUCAAGUUUAUUUUAUAAACCAAAUCCAAAACUUCUAAUAAUAUCAAAUAUUUUUCAUAAAUAAGAUGAAAAAUGAACGGUU
RNAcentral lists this long non-coding RNA (1838 nucleotides) under Lathyrus oleraceus (garden pea). RNAcentral describes it as "Pisum sativum (pea) long non-coding RNA (PSAT_LNC010826)". The record is from RNAcentral. Lineage: Eukaryota; Viridiplantae; Streptophyta; Magnoliopsida; Fabales; Fabaceae.